RNAcentral lists this ribosomal RNA (458 nucleotides) under uncultured bacterium. RNAcentral describes it as "SSU rRNA". It matches the Rfam family "Bacterial small subunit ribosomal RNA", at positions 26 to 518 of the family's 1533-position model. The record is from RNAcentral.
AGAAUCAACGCUGGCGGCGUGCCUAACACAUGCAAGUCGAACGAGAAAGUGGAGCAAUCCAUGAGUACAGUGGCGCACGGGUGAGUAACACGUGACUAACCUACCCUUGAGUGGGGAAUAACCUGGAGAAAUCUAGGCUAAUACCGCAUAACACCUACGGGUCAAAGGAGCAAUUCGCUUAAGGAGGGGGUCGCGGCAGAUUAGCUAGUUGGCGGGGUAAUGGCCCACCAAGGCAGUGAUCUGUAUCCGGCCUGAGAGGGCGCACGGACACACUGGAACUGAAACACGGUCCAGACUCCUACGGGAGGCAGCAGUGGGGAAUUUUGCGCAAUGGGGGAAACCCUGACGCAGCAACGCCGCGUGGAGGAUGAAGUCCCUUGGGACGUAAACUCCUUUCGACCGGGAAGAUAAUGACGGUACCGGAAGAGAAGCCCGGCUAACUUCGCGCCAGCAGCCGC